Molecule: ribosomal RNA, 200 nt
Filed under: uncultured bacterium
Lineage: Bacteria
Description: partial 16S ribosomal RNA
Rfam family: Bacterial small subunit ribosomal RNA
Source: RNAcentral
AUUGAACGCUGGCGGAAUGCUUUACACAUGCAAGUCGAGCGGCAGCGCGGGGCAACCUGGCGGCGAGCGGCGAACGGGCGAGUAAUGUAUCGGAACGUGUCCUGUAGUGGGGGAUAGCCCGGCGAAAGCCGGAUUAAUACCGCAUACGAUCUACGGAUGAAAGCAGGGGAUCGCAAGACCUUGCGCUAUAGGAGCGGCCG